AAUAGAGAAACGUGUUUCUCUACGUGUAAUCGUCAUUUCCGGUAGCGUAAAUGGCCGCUUCCUACUAUCGAAAAACUGUGAACUUGCUACAAACUCUCGGAAAGACAUGAACGUGUGCAUUAGUUUUUCAUUUUUUGUCAUGGAAUUUUGAAGACACAUCAUUUGGAAUAGAGAGGGUGCUGGAAGAUCUUUGAUAAUGGCUGAGGCAAAACAAGGAACGGAAAAGAAGAUAGUAAAGAAGACACCUCAUGAUUUUAUCUUUGGAAAAUUCCUUGGAGAAGGCUCAUUUUCAACAGUUACAUUGGCUAAAGAAGUGAGCACAGGCAAAGAAUUUGCAAUAAAAGUCUGUAACAAGCAGCACCUCAUCAGGGAAAGGAAGAGUGAAUAUGCCAUGCGAGAGAAAGCUGUCCUUACCAUGGUUAAUCAUCCAUUCAUCAUAAAGCUCUUCUACACAUUCCAGGAUGUUGAACGUUUAUAUUUUGUUUUAGAGUAUACCAGCAAAAAAGACUUGUCUCAUUAUUUAAAGAAACUGUCAUCCUUUGAUCUUCCUUGUUCCCGUUUCUACGCAGCAGAAAUAGUAGAGGCAUUGGAUUACUUACAAAAUGUUGGCAUUAUCCACAGGGAUCUGAAACCUGAAAACAUUCUUUUGAGAGAAAGUAUGCACAUCAUGAUAACUGAUUUUGGGUCUGCCAAAAUCCUCAAGAAUGAUGUUGUUGAUGGAGAAGGCGGAGAAAAUCCCAAGGGGAAUGGAGAUGGUGGAAGACGAAAAUCAUUUGUUGGAACAGCACAGUAUGUAACACCUGAAGUCCUUGCGAGCAAUAAAGUCUAUUUUAGCUCUGAUCUUUGGGCCUUAGGAUGCAUCAUUUAUGAGUUCUUGGCAGGAAAACCACCCUUUUAUGAAAAAAGCGAAUACAAGACAUUUAAAAGAAUCUGCAGCCUUCAGUAUGAUAUACCAGCUUGUCUCAACACAACAGCACAAGAUCUUGUCUCAAAACUAUUGGUUCUGGAGCCUGAGGAACGUUUAGGCUCUAAAGACAUGGGAGAAUUACGGGCUCAUCCAUUUUUUGAGGGCAUUGUGUGGGAGGGUCUUCCUGAGCAGCAAGCACCCCAGUUGCUGCCUUAUCUUCCAGCCACUGAAACGAACCCAGAGAUGUGGAGCAGUCAAUCCAGAACAGGCCUUGAUGAUCAGCGUUUGGCAGAGAUAAUUAUUGGCAAUGAUAACAUACAUGAAAAAGUAAUCCCACAAGAACAAAAUGAUGAGGUGAAUAAUGAAGAUCAUCAAAGGCGGUUGCAAGAGCAGGCAGUCAACAAUGAGUUCCAUGAAUUUGUGCAGGGCAACCUCAUUAUCAAGCAAGGCAAAGUGUUGAAGAGAAGAGGUUUGUUUGCUCGAAAAAGAAUGCUGUUGCUGACAGAGGGGCCACACCUGUAUUAUGUGGACUACGCCAAUAAAGUGCUUAAAGGAGAAAUUCCUUGGGUUUCAGGGAGUUAAAAUGGUGGUAGUUACACUUUCUUCAGCUGUGGCUCAUAUUUGGUUAUACCUGCCAUCUUGCUUCCAGUUUACUUUGCCUAAUGGAACCUAGAAGGACAUGUGAAGUUGUCUUUGGAUAACAGUAAUGGCGGAGUGCAUGACAUGAUCACCAUAAAUGCGAACCUUCUUAUAAGAGGGCCAUGACCAGGAAAGGCAAGGUCAAGUGAUCUUCGACCAGAGGCACAGAACUUCAGAAUUUUCUUUGUACACACACCCAACAGAACAUACUACUUGGAGAGUCGCGAGUCUGAUGCACAUGACUGGGUUAAAAAAAUAAAUGAGGUGUGGCAACAUU
RNAcentral lists this unclassified non-coding RNA (1823 nucleotides) under Pomacea canaliculata. Its description in RNAcentral is "3-phosphoinositide-dependent protein kinase 1-like, transcript variant X2". The record is from RNAcentral. Lineage: Eukaryota; Metazoa; Mollusca; Gastropoda; Architaenioglossa; Ampullariidae.